Molecule: transfer RNA, 75 nt
Filed under: Hathewaya limosa
Lineage: Bacteria; Bacillati; Bacillota; Clostridia; Eubacteriales; Clostridiaceae
Description: tRNA-Glu
Rfam family: tRNA
About the family: Transfer RNA (tRNA) molecules are approximately 80 nucleotides in length.
Source: RNAcentral
GGCUCCUUGGUCAAGCGGUUAAGACAUUACCCUCUCACGGUAGUAUCAGGGGUUCGAAUCCCCUAGGAGUCACCA